RNAcentral lists this ribosomal RNA (502 nucleotides) under uncultured Glomeromycotina. RNAcentral's name for it is "partial small subunit ribosomal RNA". It matches the Rfam family "Eukaryotic small subunit ribosomal RNA", at positions 591 to 1092 of the family's 1831-position model. Lineage: Eukaryota; Fungi; Glomeromycota. The record is from RNAcentral.
CCAAUAGCGUAUAUUAAAGUUGUUGCAGUUAAAAAGCUCGUAGUUGAACUUCGGGGUUUACUCAUUGGUCAGGCUUAAUUGUCUGUACUGGUGAGAUGAAUCUCUACCUUCUGAGGAACUUUCAUGCCAUUUAUUUGGUGUGGUUGGAAAUCAGGACUGUUACUUUGAAAAAAUUAGAGUGUUUAAAGCAGACUAACGUCUGAAUACAUUAGCAUGGAAUAAUGAAAUAGGACGGAUUGAUUCUAUUUCGUUGGUUUCUAGGGUCACCGUAAUGAUUAAUAGGGAUAGUUGGGGGCAUUAGUAUUCAAUUGUCAGAGGUGAAAUUCUUGGAUUUAUUGAAGACUAACUACUGCGAAAGCACUUGCCAAGGAUGUUUUCAUUAAUCAAGAACGAAAGUUAGGGGAUCGAAGACGAUCAGAUACCGCCGUAGUCUUAACCAUAAACUAUGCCGACUAGGGAUCGGACGCAGUUAAUUUUAUAAUGACGUAUUCGGCACCUUACG